This 497-nucleotide ribosomal RNA is filed under the name uncultured bacterium. RNAcentral describes it as "partial 16S ribosomal RNA". It matches the Rfam family "Bacterial small subunit ribosomal RNA", at positions 28 to 507 of the family's 1533-position model. The record is from RNAcentral.
GAUGAACGCUGGCGGCGUGCCUAAUACAUGCAAGUCGAGCGAACGGACGAGAAGCUUGCUUCUCUGAUGUUAGCGGCGGACGGGUGAGUAACACGUGGAUAACCUACCUAUAAGACUGGGAUAACUUCGGGAAACCGGAGCUAAUACCGGAUAAUAUUUUGAACCGCAUGGUUCAAAAGUGAAAGACGGUCUUGCUGUCACUUAUAGAUGGAUCCGCGCUGCAUUAGCUAGUUGGUAAGUUAACGGCUUACCAAGGCAACGAUGCAUAGCCAACCUGAGAGACUGAUAGGCAACACUGGAACUGAGACACGGUCCAGACUCCUACGGGAGGCAGCAGUAGGGAAUCUUCCGCAAUGAGCGAAAGCCUGACGGAGCAACGCCACGUGAGUGAUGAAGGUCUUCGGAUCGUAAAACUCUGUUAUUAGGGAAGAACAUAUGUGUAAGUAACUGUGCACAUCUUGACGGUACCUAAUCAGAAAGCCACGGCUAACUACGUG